GUGUUUGCUUUGGCAGCACAUACACUAAAAAACUGGAAUGAUACAGAGAAGAUUAGCAUGGCCCCUGAACAAGGAUGACAUGCAAAUUCAUGAAGCAUUACAUAUUUUU
Molecule: small nuclear RNA, 109 nt
Organism: Capra hircus (goat)
Lineage: Eukaryota; Metazoa; Chordata; Mammalia; Artiodactyla; Bovidae
Source: Ensembl